This 260-nucleotide ribosomal RNA is filed under the name uncultured bacterium. Its description in RNAcentral is "partial 16S ribosomal RNA". It matches the Rfam family "Bacterial small subunit ribosomal RNA", at positions 94 to 354 of the family's 1533-position model. The record is from RNAcentral.
ACCGGCGCACGGGUGAGUAACACGUAUGGAACCUGCCCGCAGCAGGGGGAUAAGCGGAAGAAAUUCCGUCUAAUACCGCGUAACAACGUUGGGAGGCAUCUCCCGAUGUUUAAAGAUUUAUCGGCUGCGGAUGGCCAUGCGGCGCAUUAGCUAGUCGGCGGGGUAACGGCCCACCGAGGCGACGAUGCGUAGGGGUUCUGAGAGGAAGGUCCCCCACACUGGUACUGAGACACGGACCAGACUCCUACGGAAGGCAGCAG